RNAcentral lists this unclassified non-coding RNA (329 nucleotides) under Hevea brasiliensis (rubber tree). Lineage: Eukaryota; Viridiplantae; Streptophyta; Magnoliopsida; Malpighiales; Euphorbiaceae. The record is from RNAcentral.
AAAUUGCUGAUACCAAGAGUACAAUCUGUCAAUGUACAUCCUAGGAAUGGGCUGGCUAUCCAGGCUAUCACGUGGAUGAUGGGAAUCAAUUUUCCUUUUUUUUUUUUUUUUAUCUCCAGGCAUGGGCCUCACAAAGUCAUCCAAGUGUCAAAUACCAGCAUCAUGUUGAUCAUGAAUAUAGUGAUAUGCUGUAGGUGGAUUUCUUUUAGCGCCAAACAAGCACCUUUUGAAUUCAAUUGCAAAUCAGGCAUGAUACACUAUUUCCACAAGAUAUUGCCAUAUAUAACAUGCGUCCUCUUAACACAAAAAUUAACUCAAUUUGACAAUCC